UGCUCAGGACGAACGCUGGCGGCGUGCCUAAUACAUGCAAGUCGAGCGGACAGAUGGGAGCUUGCUCCCUGAUGUUAGCGGCGGACGGGUGAGUAACACGUGGGUAACCUGCCUGUAAGACUGGGAUAACUCCGGGAAACCGGGGCUAAUACCGGAUGGUUGUUUGAACCGCAUGGUUCAGACAUAAAAGGUGGCUUCGGCUACCACUUACAGAUGGACCCGCGGCGCAUUAGCUAGUUGGUGAGGUAACGGCUCACCAAGGCGACGAUGCGUAGCCGACCUGAGAGGGUGAUCGGCCACACUGGGACUGAGACACGGCCCAGACUCCUACGGGAGGCAGCAGUAGGGAAUCUUCCGCAAUGGACGAAAGUCUGACGGAGCAACGCCGCGUGAGUGAUGAAGGUUUUCGGAUCGUAAAGCUCUGUUGUUAGGGAAGAACAAGUGCCGUUCAAAUAGGGCGGCACCUUGACGGUACCUAACCAGAAAGCCACGGCUAACUACGUGCCAGCAGCCGCGGUAAUACGUAGGUGGCAAGCGUUGUCCGGAAUUAUUGGGCGUAAAGGGCUCGCAGGCGGUUUCUUAAGUCUGAUGUGAAAGCCCCCGGCUCAACCGGGGAGGGUCAUUGGAAACUGGGGAACUUGAGUGCAGAAGAGGAGAGUGGAAUUCCACGUGUAGCGGUGAAAUGCGUAGAGAUGUGGAGGAACACCAGUGGCGAAGGCGACUCUCUGGUCUGUAACUGACGCUGAGGAGCGAAAGCGUGGGGAGCGAACAGGAUUAGAUACCCUGGUAGUCCACGCCGUAAACGAUGAGUGCUAAGUGUUAGGGGGUUUCCGCCCCUUAGUGCUGCAGCUAACGCAUUAAGCACUCCGCCUGGGGAGUACGGUCGCAAGACUGAAACUCAAAGGAAUUGACGGGGGCCCGCACAAGCGGUGGAGCAUGUGGUUUAAUUCGAAGCAACGCGAAGAACCUUACCAGGUCUUGACAUCCUCUGACAAUCCUAGAGAUAGGACGUCCCCUUCGGGGGCAGAGUGACAGGUGGUGCAUGGUUGUCGUCAGCUCGUGUCGUGAGAUGUUGGGUUAAGUCCCGCAACGAGCGCAACCCUUGAUCUUAGUUGCCAGCAUUCAGUUGGGCACUCUAAGGUGACUGCCGGUGACAAACCGGAGGAAGGUGGGGGAUGACGUCAAAUCAUCAUGCCCCUUAUGACCUGGGCUACACACGUGCUACAAUGGGCAGAACAAAGGGCAGCGAAACCGCGAGGUUAAGCCAAUCCCACAAAUCUGUUCUCAGUUCGGAUCGCAGUCUGCAACUCGACUGCGUGAAGCUGGAAUCGCUAGUAAUCGCGGAUCAGCAUGCCGCGG
Molecule: ribosomal RNA, 1359 nt
Filed under: Bacillus amyloliquefaciens
Lineage: Bacteria; Bacillati; Bacillota; Bacilli; Caryophanales; Bacillaceae
Description: bacterial SSU rRNA
Rfam family: Bacterial small subunit ribosomal RNA
Source: RNAcentral